This 252-nucleotide ribosomal RNA is filed under the name uncultured bacterium. RNAcentral describes it as "partial 16S ribosomal RNA". It matches the Rfam family "Bacterial small subunit ribosomal RNA", at positions 524 to 775 of the family's 1533-position model. The record is from RNAcentral.
UACGAAGGGGGCUAGCGUUGUUCGGAAUUACUGGGCGUAAAGCGCACGUAGGCGGAUCGAUCAGUCAGGGGUGAAAUCCCAGGGCUCAACCCUGGAACUGCCUUUGAUACUGUCGAUCUGGAGUAUGGAAGAGGUGAGUGGAAUUCCGAGUGUAGAGGUGAAAUUCGUAGAUAUUCGGAAGAACACCAGUGGCGAAGGCGACUUACUGGACACAUAUUGACGCUGAGGUGCGAAAGCGUGGGGAGCAACAGG